RNAcentral lists this transfer RNA (87 nucleotides) under Candidatus Atribacteria bacterium. Its description in RNAcentral is "tRNA-Leu". It matches the Rfam family "tRNA". From Rfam's summary of the family: Transfer RNA (tRNA) molecules are approximately 80 nucleotides in length. Their secondary structure includes four short double-helical elements and three loops (D, anti-codon, and T loops). RNAcentral also lists the same sequence under 2 other names. The record is from RNAcentral. Lineage: Bacteria; Pseudomonadati; Atribacterota; Atribacteria.
GCCGAAGUGGCGGAAAUGGCAGACGCGCUGGAAUCAGGAUCCAGUGAGUGAAAGCUCAUGCGGGUUCAACUCCCGCCUUCGGCACCA